RNAcentral lists this long non-coding RNA (315 nucleotides) under Sorghum bicolor (sorghum). Its description in RNAcentral is "long non-coding RNA (SBIC_LNC012147)". Lineage: Eukaryota; Viridiplantae; Streptophyta; Magnoliopsida; Poales; Poaceae. The record is from RNAcentral.
AUGAACUAAAAUGUUGCACACUCAAUCUUUGGAAGAUAUAUUUUAUAAAAAAACAACAUAAAUAUAGAUAGAUUAUCUUUCCAUUAGGUUGAGCGAUUUGAUCUGACAAAUGUUUUAAAUGUUAUACUCAUGAUCUUAUUAUCCAUCAACUUUGUCUUGCUCACUAUGCUUAAGGUUAGAGAAGAACAAAUACACUUUUGGUUCUGUUGGUGUUUUCCACCAACAGGGCCCAUGCACUUGAUCUCUGCCUUGUCUCUAUGAGUAGGUACACUUUGAGCAAAAUAUGAAGGAGUUUUACAACUCCCAGACUCCACC